CAGUAGCCGCGGGAAUACGAAGGGUGCAAGCGUUAAUCGGAACUACUGGGCGUAAAGCGUGCGUAGGCGGUUUGUUAAGUCUGUUGUGAAAUCCCCGGGCUCAACCUGGGAAUGGCAAUGGAUACUGGCAAGCUAGAGUGUGUCAGAGGAUGGUGGAAUUCCCGGCGUAGCGGUGAAAUGCGUAGAGAUCGGGAGGAACAUCAGUGGCGAAGGCGGCCAUCCGGGACAACACUGACGCUGAGGCACGAAAGCGUGGGGAGCAAACAGGAUUAGAUACCCCCGUAGUCCCUGUCUCUUAUAC
RNAcentral lists this ribosomal RNA (301 nucleotides) under uncultured bacterium. RNAcentral's name for it is "partial 16S ribosomal RNA". It matches the Rfam family "Bacterial small subunit ribosomal RNA", at positions 509 to 807 of the family's 1533-position model. The record is from RNAcentral.